CCUACGGGAGGCAGCAGUGAGGAAUAUUGGUCAAUGGGCGGGAGCCUGAACCAGCCAAGUCGCGUGAGGGAAGACGGUCCUAUGGAUUGUAAACCUCUUUAGGCGGGGAGCAAUGCCGGGCACGCGUGCCCGGAGGGAGAGUACCCGCAGAAUAAGCAUCGGCUAACUCCGUGCCAGCAGCCGCGGUAAUACGGAGGGGGCAAGCGUUAUCCGGAUUUACUGGGUGUAAAGGGGGCGCAGACGGCGAUGCAAGCCAGGAGUGAAAGCCCGGGGCCCAACCCCGGGACUGCUCUUGGAACUGCGUGGCUGGAGUGCAGGAGGGGCAGGCGGAAUUCCUGGUGUAGCGGUGAAAUGCGUAGAUAUCACGCAGAACCCCGAUUGCGAAGGCAGCCUUCCGGCGCCCUACUGACGCUGAGGCACGAAAGUGCGGGGAUCGAACAGGAUUAGAUACCCGGGUAGUC
RNAcentral lists this ribosomal RNA (461 nucleotides) under uncultured bacterium. Its description in RNAcentral is "partial 16S ribosomal RNA". It matches the Rfam family "Bacterial small subunit ribosomal RNA", at positions 338 to 795 of the family's 1533-position model. The record is from RNAcentral.